Non-coding RNA from Potamilus streckersoni, 69 nucleotides. NCBI's taxonomy places the organism in Eukaryota, Metazoa, Mollusca, Bivalvia, Unionida, Unionidae. The record is from the annotation of a GenBank genome assembly.
GGCCGCCUAGUUGGUUAGAGCGUCCGCCUCGGGUGCGGAAAGUCGCGGGUUGGAACGCCGGCAUAGUCU